This 253-nucleotide ribosomal RNA is filed under the name uncultured bacterium. RNAcentral describes it as "partial 16S ribosomal RNA". It matches the Rfam family "Bacterial small subunit ribosomal RNA", at positions 524 to 776 of the family's 1533-position model. The record is from RNAcentral.
UACGUAGGGUGCGAGCGUUGUCCGGAAUUACUGGGCGUAAAGGGCUUGUAGGUGGGUUGUCGCGUUGUUCGUGAAAUCUCACGGCUUAACUGUGAGCGUGCGGGCGAUACGGGCAGACUAGAGUACUGCAGGGGAGACUGGAAUUCCUGGUGUAGCGGUGGAAUGCGCAGAUAUCAGGAGGAACAUCCGUGGCGAAGGCGGCUCUCUGGGACGGUACUGACGCUGAGACGCGAAAGCGUGGGGAGCAAACAGG